UGUGAGAAACACAGCUAUUAGCACGCAUGCCAUUCCCCACCUUGACCUCAGCAGGAAUGUGUAAAUUGUAACAUAUGGAAUGUAAGCCCUGUCGAGAUGUUUCAUAAAUCUGCCUGGCAAUGAGCAUCACAAGGCCCUGCAUGAGAACAGGUCCCAGAAACGGAGAGACAAAUAAAGAAACAUCAGAAAUAUUAAAACCAGCACCAAAAGGAGGCCCAGUAGAGAUGGGGUUUCACCAUGUUAGCCAGGAUAGUCUCAAUCUCCUGAUCUCAUGAUCCACCUGCCUUGGCCUCCCAAAGUGCUGGGAUUACAGGUGUGAGCCACCAUGCCCGGCC
Molecule: long non-coding RNA, 335 nt
Organism: Symphalangus syndactylus (siamang)
Lineage: Eukaryota; Metazoa; Chordata; Mammalia; Primates; Hylobatidae
Source: RefSeq, a predicted model, not a curated record